AGUGUCCGUUUCCGAGGCCCCAUCCCCGGAGGGUGCAGGAGAGUCUGCGCCCAGCGCGGACAGGGGCCCCGCGACCCUCGCUCGGGCUCCACUACGGCGGGCGGGCAUUGGCUGCCCAGAGGGCCCAGUCGGCUUCCGGCGGCCGCGGGCGACUCCUGGUACCCCCGAGGCCCCGCGAACUCACCUUCACAAAGCUGUCGGCGUCCGGGAAGCCUGGCAGCACCAUCUCUCCGUCGGAUUUGGUUGCGCUGGUCGCCGACAGGACCCUGGGCUCCCGGGUACUGGGUGGCGCCAUUUUUUCAGCCUGCACGGCUCGUCUCGCGAGAGCUUGUCGGCCGAGGAGACGGGACGCGUGCGCACCACGCAUGCGCCAGGUAAGCUCCUGAAGAAAGCGUCUAGCUCCAACUGUGCUUCCUCCCUCCAGUACCCUCUGAACUCCUCCAAGCAGACGUUGUUUCCUGCAGACAUCGCUGGAACCAUUCUGGUUAACACAGAGUGGGAACUCAGUACACAUUUGUGAAGUGAACUCCUGGAAGAGCUCUUGUGAGGGAGGCACCGAAUUAUCAGGCAGCUCAAGAGAUAGAUUCACUCUCCUGAAAUUAGAGAUGGGAUGCCCUUAAUACAAUUCAUUCCACCCAUUAAGUCUUCAAUAAAUGUUCAGCAUAUCCAGU
This 671-nucleotide long non-coding RNA is filed under the name Homo sapiens (human). Its description in RNAcentral is "HSALNT0290267". Lineage: Eukaryota; Metazoa; Chordata; Mammalia; Primates; Hominidae. The record is from RNAcentral.